CUAUGUUAGGAGAGAGGCAAAGAACUGCAGUUCCCUCCUGCGUUUGCACUGAUGUCUUCACGGCAGGAAGCAUAUUAUGUCAAAGGUUUUCAAUGCCGUCCUUGAAGCUCUUCCAACAAGGCCAUUUGUAGAGACGUUCAUAGUUGACGUUGAGUUUGUUGCCUGGAAUGCCAUUUCUAUGGUAUUCUACGGUAUUCCAUGAUGCUGUUACCAAGGGAUGAAGUUCCAUUGGUGCCAGGCCAUGGAGACAUAUCCAUCUAACUUCAUGAAGAGGGAAGCUACCCACCGCUACCUGAAGCAGCUCAUGGCCUUACCCUUCCUACCUAACAUCCCUGUCACAUUUCAGACACUGAAGGAAAGGGACAACACCGCGCCCCUCCAGUCUCUCGUUAACUACAUCGACCGCCAGUGAAUGCAUCUUCCAUCUUCCUUCCAUCAUCCUGGACAGUAUACCAGCAGCCCGUCUGGACUAACAACGAUUUAGAAGAUUGGCAUCCCAGGGUCAACGGAAAGGAUGAUAAUCUCUACUGAGUGAGUGACUCACUUCACUACACUAGUGGUGUAAAUCAGAUGUGGAUACAAAAAUUCAUAGGGACUUUUGGGAAAUUGGACAUUACAAAAUUUACCAAAUUAAAAUCUACAGCAUUACAAUUUUUAAAGCUGAUAUACAACUAUUCCCCAUAUUAAAGUCCAGUCGUUUUUCAAUAGCAGUGACAGCUGCUUUUUCAAUAAAAAUGAAACUCGUAAUUUACUCACCUUGCUAUGGGUCAUUUGCAAAAUUAUAUUGUU
Long non-coding RNA from Saccostrea cuccullata (small rock oyster), 789 nucleotides. RefSeq lists it as uncharacterized. The record is from RefSeq and is a predicted model, not a curated record. The transcript is spliced from 4 exons. Lineage: Eukaryota; Metazoa; Mollusca; Bivalvia; Ostreida; Ostreidae.